This 253-nucleotide ribosomal RNA is filed under the name uncultured bacterium. RNAcentral describes it as "partial 16S ribosomal RNA". It matches the Rfam family "Bacterial small subunit ribosomal RNA", at positions 524 to 776 of the family's 1533-position model. The record is from RNAcentral.
UACGUAGGGUGCAAGCGUUGUCCGGAAUUAUUGGGCGUAAAGAGCUCGUAGGCGGUUUGUCGCGUCUGCUGUGAAAUCCCGAGGCUCAACCUCGGGCCUGCAGUGGGUACGGGCAGACUAGAGUGCAGUAGGGGAGAUUGGAAUUCCUGGUGUAGCGGUGGAAUGCGCAGAUAUCAGGAGGAACACCGAUGGCGAAGGCAGAUCUCUGGGCCGUAACUGGCGCUGAGGCGCGACAGCGUGGGGAGCAAACAGG